CGCUGGCGGCAGGCUUAACACAUGCAAGUCGAGCGGUAACAGGGGGUGCUUGCACCCCGCUGACGAGCGGCGGACGGGUGAGUAAUGCAUAGGAAACUGCCCAGUAGUGGGGGAUAGCCCGGGGAAACCCGGAUUAAUACCGCGUACGCCCUUCGGGGGAAAGCAGGGGAUCUUCGGACCUUGCGCUAUUGGAUGUGCCUAUGUCGGAUUAGCUAGUUGGUGGGGUAAAGGCCUACCAAGGCGACGAUCCGUAGCUGGUCUGAGAGGAUGAUCAGCCACAUCGGGACUGAGACACGGCCCGAACUCCUACGGGAGGCAGCAGUGGGGAAUAUUGGACAAUGGGGGCAACCCUGAUCCAGCCAUGCCGCGUGUGUGAAGAAGGCUUUCGGGUUGUAAAGCACUUUCAGUGAGGAGGAAAACUCUGCGACUAAUACUCGUAGGGCUUGACGUUACUCACAGAAGAAGCACCGGCUAACUCCGUGCCAGCAGCCGCGGUAAUACGGAGGGUGCAAGCGUUAAUCGGAAUUACUGGGCGUAAAGCGCGCGUAGGUGGUUUGAUAAGCGAGAUGUGAAAGCCCCGGGCUUAACCUGGGAACGGCAUUUCGAACUGUCAGGCUAGAGUAUGGUAGAGGGUAGUGGAAUUUCCUGUGUAGCGGUGAAAUGCGUAGAUAUAGGAAGGAACACCAGUGGCGAAGGCGGCUACCUGGACCAAUACUGACACUGAGGUGCGAAAGCGUGGGGAGCAAACAGG
This 751-nucleotide ribosomal RNA is filed under the name Marinobacter sp. DG1402. RNAcentral describes it as "bacterial SSU rRNA". It matches the Rfam family "Bacterial small subunit ribosomal RNA", at positions 34 to 776 of the family's 1533-position model. Lineage: Bacteria; Pseudomonadati; Pseudomonadota; Gammaproteobacteria; Pseudomonadales; Marinobacteraceae. The record is from RNAcentral.